ACCAGGGGUCGGACAAAAAGUGCGGAUGACGUAAAAAUGACGUAAUUUUGCACACCGGAUGAUGUUUGAGUUUGUAUUUAAACUUCCUAACAAAGUAGUAUUAAUGAAGUAACAAAAUAAUCGUAAAUAAAUCCAUGGAAUUAAUAAUACAGGUGGUAGGGUGAUGUAGUGAAUAAAAUAAAUUUCACGAAACUUGUUACCAUAAGGUAUAAUUAU
Cydia amplana is the source of this 216-nucleotide long non-coding RNA. RefSeq lists it as uncharacterized. The transcript has 2 exons. The record is from RefSeq and is a predicted model, not a curated record. Lineage: Eukaryota; Metazoa; Arthropoda; Insecta; Lepidoptera; Tortricidae.